Molecule: long non-coding RNA, 3422 nt
Organism: Aedes albopictus (Asian tiger mosquito)
Lineage: Eukaryota; Metazoa; Arthropoda; Insecta; Diptera; Culicidae
Exons: 2
Source: RefSeq, a predicted model, not a curated record
GUGGUUACCUGGGUCUGUUCUUUUCUAACUUCCUUUGCUUCCAUUGAAGUUGCUUUUUUGCUACUUCAUCCAGAUUCUAGCUGUUGUCCUCCGAGUUCCUGAUCAAGUCCAAGUCCGUUGCCUUUUUCAUCUGCUCCACCAAUGCACCAUGGGAAUGGUGUGAUCAAACUAUAGUAUUUAAACCAUGAAAAACAAAAUAGUUUGAGCAUUUCGAGGGUUGAAAAUGAUAUGGGAUGAGGAUGAUUCAGUGGUAAGGUUGGUGGUGAUGAACGCAGGAAUUGAUGCAGGAGAAGCAAUGUUUAAUGGGAAUUCGGACCUCGGUAUAUCAGCCGAAUAAUUCGCCAAAAGUGGCUUUUGAGCAGCUCUAUAAAAGGAUAUAGAACCAAUUAGCUCUGUUAGCCAGGUUCUACAUUCGACUAGAGCCGACUCAAUGCCAUUUUACGGCUUAAUGGUUACUUGGGUGGUGUGUAGGGUGCCUUACAUACGUCAUUGUACCGACAAAGCGACACAUAUGAAAAGUGCUCACUUUGUUACUUAAGUCAGUUUGAUUUUCUUCAUUUUCAAAAGGUUUUAACAACUGUUGAAUGAGUUAUUGUUUUAAAAAUAUAAAACUUAUAACAUUUGCGUCACAAGGGAAACAUUCAAGAAAGAUCGAAAAUUCUGAUCAAUGUUACCCCGGAUUUUGGUAAUUCAAGUUUAUAAACUAUAUAACCUAUAGGUGCUUUUCACCAUAAAAAAUAAAAUGGAUUUACUCCUGCUGAUCAACUGUGGGUGUGCGCCAAGCGGGAAGUCCAUUGUGAUGUUGCUACACAUCAUUAAGCAGAAUAUUAGGUAUAAAAAUAUGCAAAAAUCUUAGUUUUGUUUAUUUUGUUACUUGGAACGUAUUGAAAAUUUGCUCUUGAAUUGGGAGUCAUUCGAAUUCUUCUAGGCUACUUCAGAUGACCCCCAAUAGGUGAAUCGGAAUGGUCCCCCGUUGUAGAGGCGCUGAGUGAGAUAAGGAGAAAAUCGUUUGUUUACAUAAAAAAUCAAGUUUUUUGUCUUCAAAAUUUAUUCAUAUUUUGCACUGAUAGGGUAACCAAUAUAAUUUGGACCCCCAUAUAUUUUGGACCCCCUGAGUCGUAUUAUCACAAAUUUCUCAGAUUUAAUGAAGAUAUUGCGAAAAUUUUUAGAAUCAUUCGCUAAAUUAGAUUGCUCUGCACGGGCAGCAAUCAUUUCCGCACUGGAAGUAGCAUUAUUUGCCUUGAAAUUCAUUUUUGUCAAUCUCGUCAUGCGUGUCAGUAUCUGUUGCAGUAUGUACGCGCCCCUCGUAUUUUCAUUCUCUUUUGUUAACACACACAUACUAACAUACUCUCGCACGGACCUGAAAUAAAGAGUGCAGUGAAUGCCCGCAUAGCCAAAAACACUUUGUCUUGUAGUUCUAACAUAAAAAAUGUUUCAUACCAUAGUGUAGGUCCUUGUGAUAUCGUUUACUUAAUGUAAUACAAAAUGAUUCUCUUCCCAGGUAACCACUAAGCACUGUUCUGAGCAUUAUAACAGCCAUUUAACAGCUUUUCAGUGCUAAAUAGCUCUAUAUAAGCAUUCCUAAUGCUUAUGGGCGCUAUAACCAGUAAGAACUAAAUUAAGCCCUGUAAGCCUAUAUAAAGCCUACAAGCUGUAAAGAAGUUUGUCAGUGCUGUCACAGGGCUUGGAGCACAUGACGUUUAUAUCAAUCAAAAUAGAUUUCGACCAAAACAGACUCGAGUCGGUCAUGAUCAAUACAUUUUAAACAUCCAUGUCGGACGGGUUUGACGAAACGGGAUUAUUUUUGUUGUUGGCAUGUUUAUCGGAAUGGUGUUGUUAAAUAGAUAAUGGAAUUUGAUUAUCUUGAUUAUUCCAUUUUUUUUUUCAAUCAAGACAAACUCCAGCUCGUUUCCCUCUUCUUGUGAAACGUUUCCCGACCAUUUAUAUAAACAUUGCUUCUCCUGCAUCAAUUCCUGCGUUCAUCACCACCAACCUUACCACUGAAUCAUCCUCAUCCCAUAUCAUUUUCAACCCUCGAAAUGCCCAAACUAUUUUGUUUUUCAUGGUUUAAAUACUAGUUUCAUAACACCAUUCCCAUGGUGCAUUGGUGGAGCAGAUGAAAAAGGCAACGGACUUGGACUUGAUCAGGAACUCGGAGGACAACAGCUAGAAUCUGGAUGAAGUAGCAAAAAAGCAACUUCAAUGGAAGCAAAGGAAGUUAGAAAAGAACAGAAGAUAAACAUUUUUUUUCUUUUUUCUUUGUCUCACUUUUGACAACUUUCGCUCCAGAGACUUGGUACGAUAUUUUAAAGUUGGCCGUAUAUCAGCCGAAUAAUUCGCCAAAAGUGGCUUUUGAGCAGCUCUAUAAGAGGAUAUAGAACCAAUUAGCUCUGUUAGCCAGGUUCUACAUUCGACUAUAGAGCCGACUUAAUGCCAUUUUCACGGCUUAAUGGUUACUUGGGUUGACUUAAAACAACAUAUGACACUUCAGUAACAAUACCUUUUAUUUUAAAAAUAUAACGUAUUGUCGUUGAGUUGUUAUUUACUGUCCAUAAGUUUGCAUAUCACUUGCUUAUGACAAUAAACAAUCUAUAAGAACUAUCUCACAAGAUGUAACACUAUGCCAAAUCUUGCUGACAUUGUAUUUAAUUUUCUAUCAUCAAAUGGGAAAGACUAUGUUGUCACAAACACAUCGACACAUUUUAUUGUAUCACAUUCGAUGGACCAUAUCUGAUAUUGUUAAACAUAAACUGUGUGUGUGAUAAUUUAUUUUUGCUAAUUUUCCUGCCUUUGCGGCGAACAGCCAUAUUUGAUUCGGUCUUCAACUUAUUUGGCAGCACGAAAGUUUUGCGGAAAAGAUCGUACUUUUCUUUCACGAAGUACCAGCUUUAUUGGCCAUUCUGAGCGAAAAGUUGAUUAAAAGCAUUCCAAAUUAUUGUUUAAUGUCAGAAAAGUGAAACAAAUCUGUUUUAGCGCAGCCGGAGCAGCCCCAAUCAAUACCCCAACACCGGCGGUGGUUGAACAAAAACCCUUUCUGUACAUACGCUGCUACCAGUCAAUCGGCAGAGUGCUGUCCUCCUGAAAGUAUGAGAUCGUCCGCCCGGUAUCAACGGAAUCAUACACAAAUGCAGGUUCCAAGAAAUGGCAAGUUUCUAGCCACGGAUCGGAAGAAGCGGUAUGAAGACUGGGAAGUACGGCCAAGACGCUGAAAAGAAUAGAAUUUCGAUACUGUUGGGAUAUGCAAUACUGUUUCCUCUCAGUGUGGCAUUCGGCGAGAUCGAAGGCGAGAUCAACCCUGCGAAAACUUUCCACAGCAGACCCGAGCGAGCGCGCCACGCGCGUAUCAAUGUGAACUUUAUUUUUUCAGUCCCCUACGUUAAACCCGUUCAGACGUGCAUUAAAGUAUUUUCUAGUUUCAUUCA